Molecule: long non-coding RNA, 350 nt
Filed under: Solanum tuberosum (potato)
Lineage: Eukaryota; Viridiplantae; Streptophyta; Magnoliopsida; Solanales; Solanaceae
Description: long non-coding RNA (STUB_LNC003950)
Source: RNAcentral
AGGGGGAUGCAAGUUGCAAUACGGUUCAACCUUAAGCGUCAAGCGAAAGUUCAAUAACUAAUACGAUGCUGUACAUUGAUAGAACAUUUUCUGUAUACCUGUUCCGAAUGAACGAACUACCACUCAUCUAUGAAAAUUCACCUAAACAUGAAUCAGAUUGCUAAUGCUGAAAUUGACCCAAACAAGGAUGACAUUGAACUGCACAUAUUAUCCAAGAGGUCAUUAUCCAGAAUAUAAAUUAAAAGCUGGAGCUUUAAAUCAACUGAUAAAUAAAACAUCCAUCUGUCUAAUGUAGAAAUGGUCUCAAAGUUCCCACACAAUCAUGAUAUCGGAGUUGACCGCUCCCCUCC